GACACCAGGUGGUUACACACGGCCUGUGUGACACUGUUGUUAAGCCGUGUGUAAUGGCCGCCAUUAAAAUGCAGGAAGGCAGCAUGGGUCGUCCUGUGACUACAGUUUCACCAUCCCGUCAAUGCAACGUGCCGGAUGAAGGAGUGUGACCUGCAGAGCGUGUCAGACGCACUGUCCUGAGAGAAGGCUCACUGGAAGAGAGCCAGGUGCCGUGGAUUUCAGAAAAACCAACAGAACACGAGUAAUGUGCCCUAAGGCUCACACGUUAUCCAAUCAGCAUUUCAAACGCAGAUUGGAACAUUCUCAGAUUCCUGUGCUUUUCUACAAUAACAUGAGAGGUGAUCAACAUAUAUGGCUCCAAAUUUAAAAAUGCGUUAGUACAAAAGCUACAUUACCACGUGUGUU
Long non-coding RNA from Cavia porcellus (domestic guinea pig), 405 nucleotides. RefSeq lists it as uncharacterized. Lineage: Eukaryota; Metazoa; Chordata; Mammalia; Rodentia; Caviidae. The transcript is spliced from 3 exons. The record is from RefSeq and is a predicted model, not a curated record.